RNAcentral lists this unclassified non-coding RNA (149 nucleotides) under uncultured Sordariales. RNAcentral's name for it is "sequence contains ITS1". The record is from RNAcentral. Lineage: Eukaryota; Fungi; Ascomycota; Sordariomycetes; Sordariales.
CCGGGUCUCUGACUCUAAAACCACUGUGCAUCAAUACUUUACUGCUGAGGCGGGCCGCUCGCUGGGGGAGCUUGAGCCUGAAAAGGUGGUACGCCGAAGCAACUUUUUCUAACCAGAUAACCUGAAAAGAAAAAACUUUCAAAUUAUCA